Long non-coding RNA from Phacochoerus africanus (Common warthog), 634 nucleotides. RefSeq lists it as uncharacterized. Lineage: Eukaryota; Metazoa; Chordata; Mammalia; Artiodactyla; Suidae. The record is from RefSeq and is a predicted model, not a curated record. The transcript is spliced from 3 exons.
AACCAAGGCACAGAGAAGGUGUGUGACUUGCCCGCUUAAUCACCCCACCAAACUGCCCCUGUGACGAAGUUUGUCACUUGAAGAGGAGGCUGAGAGAAGUGAGCACAACAUGAAAGAGCAUGACUGGAAGCUCCUGGUGGACAGGCUCAGGGUCCUGGAGCAUUGGAAGAGAGAGAAGGAGAUGAAGAAGCAAUCAAGGAGGUGAUGAUGGAAACCUUCUGAGGUCACUGAUAACCUUGAUGUGCAGGCAAGGAUGGAGGCCCAAGACCCUGUGGCAGCAUGCUAAAUAGUUCCUUCCUGGCUGACAUCAAUCAAGACUCUUCAAGCUCCAUUGUUCAGCUGCAAAAGCCCCUCACCGGAACUUCUCCACCCCACAAUUCUCCACCUUGUUCGUAAGCACAGGGUGAGCAGCCUUGUCAGAGCUUUGUUGAACUCCAGAGACUGACACAGUCACAAAAUAGAGUGAGGCCCAGUUGGCCCUGGUACUGCUUCCUCACCUCCUGGAAGGUUUCCUGACAACUAGCAACUUGACGGUUUUCUUGACAAUUUUGUCAAAGUUCCAGACUGAGCUAAGUGGUUUGACAUCGGCAAAGUCUACCUUUCCCCCAUUGAAAAUCGAUGCUAUACUCACAAA